GGUAAAAUCUCAACUCAUCUUACUUGCUUAUUUGUAUACACUAACACUUGUGCAUGCUUUUGUCCACGUUGUUCCUUUGACGAUGAAUAAAUACCCCUUUUCUUUCUUUCUACAUUAAAGAUGCCUUUUCAUCUGAUUAAAUUUAUAAUGAACAGGGACAUUGCGGUUGUCCCAAGUGGAUGGUAUGAUGAUGGGAUGGUUUUCUGGCCCAGCUAUAAAAACACCGACGGAAUUAAAAGGGCCGCUUUAAAUGAGGAGCAGCAUUAGCCAAACUGGCCAAGAUUUGACGUUUCUGUUGUCCGAACUUGUGCUCCACCGUCUCGCCGAGUGCCAGCAAGAGUCAUGAGUACUUGUCAACUCGACUCCUCAACUGGAGAUGACUUUCUAGCACCUGCAUUAAACAUGCAGAGAGUUACACAAGGAAGGG
Long non-coding RNA from Entelurus aequoreus (snake pipefish), 427 nucleotides. RefSeq lists it as uncharacterized. Lineage: Eukaryota; Metazoa; Chordata; Actinopteri; Syngnathiformes; Syngnathidae. The transcript is spliced from 3 exons. The record is from RefSeq and is a predicted model, not a curated record.